UUCAUUAGAGCUGCUUCAUUGGUGCUUUCAACUUUCGUUCGAACUCUGAUUACAGGAUGGCUACUACUAUUGAUUUAACCUCCAAUUCAGAAUUCAUGCGGCUCCAAAACCUGCAGAUGGCACAAAUUAAAAAAAUGAAUGAACUAAGAACAGGAUUAACAGCAAUGUCUUGGAAUUGGGAAAACAAAUAUCUGAUUUAGCCAUGAGUAUCAACAAAAAUAAAGAGCCAGACAAAGAAAAUAUACAAAAUAAACAAUAGUUCAAGCUCACAUCACAAUACAAUCCUCAACAAGGUCACCAAUCUGUGGUUGACUUGGAUAAUCCCCCAUAUGCAGCAAGUAUUAUGAAUGAUGAAUCCUACACACCUGCCAAGCACAUUAAGGUGGAUAUGCCGAGGCUUGAUGGAACAAAUGCGGAAGGUUGGCUAUUUUCAGUAUGGAGGUAUUUUAUUUUUAAUAAAAUCUCCGAGGAUCAAAAAUUACUAAUAGUAUCUUUUCACUUGGAUGGGAUUGCGAAGAAAUGGUUUGCGUGGCUAGAGGCCAGCAACAUGCUUUCUUCAUGGAAAAAUUUUGUGGACGCAGUUAUAAGGAAGUUCACAACAUGGCACUACUCCCUUCCGGGAGGCAAAUUAAGUAAAUUGUGCUAAGAGGGUACUGUUGCUGAAUAUCAAUUGCUAUUUGAAGAACUAUGCACCAGAGUAAUAGGACUGCCAGAUUAUUUCAUAUUAGAGAUGUACAUCUCUGGACUGAAAGAAGAAAUCCAAUCAGAAGUGUGUCGUGAUAAACCUACUGAUACCCACAAAGCUUUUGAAAUUUCUCUAAGAGUGGAAGCAAAGAUGAUGGGCAGCAAAGGAAAUGCUUACAAACCCUAUAUCCCAAAACAAUCAAAAUUUAGUAAUCCUCCUACAACAUUCACACCAAAAGUCAGCAAUAAUACUACUCAGAUUGGAGCCCAAACAGCAACAAAAUUCAACAACUCUAAUGCACCAGUAUUCAAAAGACUAACACCUACUGAAAGAAAAGAGAGGACAGCCAAAGGCCUCUGUUUUAACUGCGAUGACAAGUUUGCUCCUGGUCAUAAAUGCAAGGGCAUAAUUUUCAGAAUGGCUGCGGAUGAAUCAUAUUUUUGGGAGGUAGAGGAAGAAGAAAAUGCUGAGGAUAUUGCUACUGAGGAAAUAACAGAGGAUAUGGUACAGGGAGACCCAACUGAAAUCAUCUUUCAUGCAUUUGAAGUCCAUAUAAAUUCAAACACAAUUAGAUUGAGCGGGUACAUCAAAUGCCAAUGUGUAAGUGUCCUAGUAGACACGGGGUCCACCCAUAAUUUUAUGCAAGUUGAGGUAGCUGCUGCUCUGAAAUUAACUAUCCAUGUGAUUAUACCAUUCAAAGUGUCUACGGGGAGUGGCGAGAAAUUGAUUUGUGACAAGGUUUGUAAGGAUGUCGAAAUUAAUAUUCAAGGGACUGUUAUAAAAAUGGAUAUAUUCCUUCUACCCAUAGCUGGUUCUAAUAUGGUCAUUGGUAUUCAAGGAUUAAAAACUCUGGGGCCGGUCACAUUUGAUUUUGAAAUUUUUUGGAUGAAAUUCGAAAUUGAGGGGCAAACAGUACAAUGGGAUGGAAGUCCUUGGAUCUCUAAAGAUCCAUUAUCAAUGGGACAACUAAAAUGUCUUGUAGCUACCACUCAAGAAGCAUACCUAUGCUAUAUGACAAAAAUUGAAGAAGAUAAAGAAACUCCAAUUCUGAAUUCAGGCAGCAAUGAACUCAUUCCAGUAAUUCAAAAAUUCAGCGACAUAUUUGAAGCUCUUGAGGGGUUACCACCACAGAGAGAAAGGGACCAUCACAUCCAUAUUUUGCCAAAUUCUGGUCCUGUUAACGUCAGACUAUAUCGAUAUCCUCAAUUCCAGAAAACAGAGAUAGAGAAGUUGAUUUCUGAAAUGCUAAAUCAGCAAAUUAUAAAACCAAGCACCAGUCCUUAUUCAUCUCCUGUUUUACUAGUGAAGAAAAAAGAUGGAGGUUACCGCUUAUGUGUGGAUUAUAGAGCUCUAAAUGCGCUCACUAUUAAAGAUAAAUUCCCUAUACCGACUGUGGAUUUAAGAUCGGGUUUCCACCAAAUUAGGGUGCACCCUCCCCAUAUAGAGAAGACUGCAUUCAGGGCACAUCAGGGUCAUUUUGAGUUCCUUGUAAUGCCAUUUGGCCUUACAAAUGCACCCGUUAUAUUUCAAUCUGUGAUGAAUAGUGUUUUUGUUAAAUAUCUGAGAAAAUUUGUGAUUAUAUUCUUUGAUGAUAUUCUGGUGUACAGUCCUUCUCUAAAGGAGUAUAUUCAUCAUCUCAAGGUGGUUUUCAGAACUUUGAGAGAGAAUAAAGUUGGCCAAACUAUUUAAGUGCUCGUUUGGACAAAAUUCUAUGAGGUUCCUAGGACAUAUCAUAGCAGUUGAUGGUAUCCAUCCCGAUCCAGAAAAGAUAAAAGCAAUGGUUGAAUGGAAAAUUCCAAAAAAUAUUAGAAUGUUGAGGGGAUUCUUGGGACUCACAGGUUCCUAUAGGAGAUUUAUCAAAAGUUAUGCUCAGAUAGCAUCUCCCAUGACUGACUUGUUAAAAAAGGAAUGUUUCCAUUGGGAUGAGAGAGCUACUACAAGUUUUGAGAAGUUGAAGGAAGCUAUGACUUCAUCUCCUAUUUUAGGGUUUCCUGAUUUUACAAAACAAUUUAUUGUGGAAACUGACGCUUGUAAUACAGGUAUAGGAGCGGUACUAGUUCAAGAAAAGCAUCCUAUUUCAUAUUAUAGUUGCAAACUAUCCGGGAGGAUGAGGGCAACCUCAGUCUAUGUUAAAGAGAUGUUUGCCAUCACACAGGCAGUUAGUAAAUAGCGACACUAUUUAUUGGGAGCUCACUUUCUGAUCAAGACAUACCACAAAAGUCUGAAAAAUUUGCUCACUCAAACUAUCCAAACUCCUGAACAACAGGUCUUCUUGUGCAAGCUAUUAGGGUUUAAUUUCACUAUUUUUUAUAAACCCGGCAAGGAAAAUAUUGUUUCUGAUUCCUUGUCCAGAUCAUUCGAAGAGGAGGAGGAAGAAGUCUUAUACUCUCGUAAUUCUACAGGAGUUGUAGGAUCACUAUUGGCCUUAUCUAACCCUAUAAAUUCUCUAAUUUCAGAUGUUCAGAAAGAAUGCUCAGAUAAUGCAUAUCUAAAAGAGAAAUUCCAGUAACAAUUUGAAAAGGGUCAGAGCAAAGAAGGAUUUUAUAUAAAAAAUCAGAUUUUAUAUUUUAAGGGGAGGUAUGUUCUUAAUAUAGAUUCUAUGCUUAUUCACAAGAUUUUAUGGGAAGUACAUGAUGCAUUUCUAGGAGGUCAUACUGGGGUUUAUAGAACUCUGAAAAGAAUCACCAAAUAUUUUUAUUGGCCAAAGAUGAGAAUAAGGAUAUCUGAUUAUGUAAGAGAUUGCCUCAUUUGUCAACAGAUGAAACCCCCAAAUCAGAAGCCAUCUGGCUUAUUAAUGCCUCUGCCUAUACCAUCUGAGGUAUGGAAAGAUAUUACAAUGGAUUUCAUUACAGACUUGCCUAAGGUGAAGGGCAAAACAGUAAUAAUGGUGGUAGUAGAUAGGCUUUCUAAAUACUCCCAUUUCAGCCCAUUACCCUCUGAUUUUAAUGCAGUCAAAGUUGCUGAAGUAUUUGUAAAGGAUUUGAUUAAGUUACAUGGUAUACCUUCAUCAAUAGUAUCGGACAGAGACAAAAAUUUUACCUCUAAAUUUUGGAAGGAAUUACAUCGUUUGAGUGGCACCAAACUAACCUUUUCCUCUGCAUAUCAUCCAGAGAUUGAUGGUCAAACGGAGGUAGUAAACAGGACAUUGGAAAUGUAUUAUUUGAGAUCCUAUUGUCAUGAUAACCCUAGAAGGUGGCUCCAAGUCUUGCCUUGGGAAAAAUUGUGGUAUAACACUAGUUACCACUAGAGUAUCAAAAUGACUCCCUACAAGGUUCUAUAUGGGAAAGAGGCAGCUGAACUACCUCACUACAAUGAAGGUACCUCUUCUAUCAAGGUUGUGGAUAGUGAACUUCAGAUCAGAGAAGACACAUUAGAAAUGCUUAAGAUUAAUAUGGAAAAAGCUCAGACUAGAAUGAAGAACCAAGCUGGUAAAGGAAGGAAAGAAUAUUCAUACUGUGAAGGACAGUGGGUAUUAGUUAAACUCCACCCCUACAAGCAAAUUUCAGCUACUAAUAGACUCCACAACAAGUUGAGCCAGCGCUAUUUCGGACUGGUGAUACAGUAUCCCGAACCCGGUCACAAUCUACCAGCAACUAGAAGUCCGGAUAGCCUAAGAUGAGUUAAGGUACCUAUUCUAGGGUUGGGGAGGUCCCAAGUCGAAUCCUAGGAAGAUCGACUUUCCUAAGGAUCGACUUCCUUGAGAUCGACUUUUGAGAAAAGUCGAUCCCAGGAAAGUCGAUCCCAAGAAAGUCGACUUUGGGUCCCGAUUUGAUCAGUUAGGCAGUUAGGCGGUUACUGCCCAAAUGACCAGAUUACCCCCAUAAGAACCCCUAUAAAUAGAGGGCACCCCCCACUCAUUGGAGAAAAGUCAUUUGGAGUAGAAGAAUUCCUAGCGAAGCAGAGCUCAGCACACUUGAGUUCCGGUCCGGUUUCCCACGGAGUUCCCCGCUUGGCGCUUGCUUGCGCGUCUUGGAUUACUAGUCGGGUUUCACCCCCAUCACGGACCAUUCCAGAUCACAAGAAAAAUCAACGAAGUUGCAUACCAAUUAAAAUUGCCAGAAGGCAGUAGGAUUCACAAUACCUUCCAUAUUUCCAAGCUGAAAACCUUCUGCGGACCCAUCCCAGAGACAUGAGCUCAAAUCGAUCCAGUGGUGGCGAUUGACAACCAACCUAUAAUAUAUCCAGUUGCAAUAUUAGAUUCGAGAAAUAUUUUGUAGAGAAAACAGAGGAACAAACAAUACCUGGUGAAAUGGAAUGGCGCAAUGCAGGAAGACGCGUCGUGGGAGGACGUCGAGAUGCUGAAAGCUUUUUUCCAUCUUUAGACCUUGAGGACAAGGUCGUUCCUGAAGGAUUGAGAGAUGAUACAUAUUGGGUCGAUUUUGGCGCGAUUACAGAAGAUCUGGACGUUAUUCAAACAGGUGCAAGCGAAACACUAGAUUCUAAUUUGGGGAAGGACGAGGGUUCACAGCAGUUGGAGGAGAAGAACCCGUCUAACCGCUCCAGGCCGAAGAGGAAGAAGAACCGACCUGCCC
This 5217-nucleotide long non-coding RNA is filed under the name Zostera marina. Its description in RNAcentral is "long non-coding RNA (ZMAR_LNC006055)". The record is from RNAcentral. Lineage: Eukaryota; Viridiplantae; Streptophyta; Magnoliopsida; Alismatales; Zosteraceae.